Long non-coding RNA from Mercenaria mercenaria, 837 nucleotides. RefSeq lists it as uncharacterized. The record is from RefSeq and is a predicted model, not a curated record. The transcript is spliced from 3 exons. NCBI's taxonomy places the organism in Eukaryota, Metazoa, Mollusca, Bivalvia, Venerida, Veneridae.
UUCAAGGGAAAUAAUUGUGGUCUGACUGUAUUAUUUCAAAAAUCACAUUUGAGAUUUUUUUUACUUGCACACCGGUACAGUUUUGCGGGGAAGCGAAAGUUGCUGGAAUUUUGUCUUCUUCUAAAAACAAGUGUCUGAUACAUGUAGUUGCAGUCUGUCUUUGGAAGCUCUUCAGGUAACAAGAAAGAGGCUACAUUGACAUCCUGUUUUGGUAGGGAGAAGUUUGAGUAUGUACAGUUGUUUGACCUGUCUUACCAUGUGGCAGUCCCAGAAGAUGUUACCAUUAUGAAUAAAUGCAGGGGGUAUUAUGCUUUUGUAUGUUAAACAAAGGUCUCAAAGCAUUUAUAUGCUGUAUGACUAGAUACUUGCUCCUGAAAUAAUUGUACAAGACAGCUUUAAGACUGACAUUCCUGACAAGAUGUGAACCUUCUGGACUUUAUGUCAGCCUGGCAUAAGCAUUUCGUUCCUGUAGCUUUGUGUAUCCCUCAAUUUACUAAGUACAUAUCUCAAUUAAAGAUAAUGCUAAUAGAUAUGUUUUAGUAAUAAAUGUGUGAUAGCUUUGUAAUGUAAACACUUUAAAAAUAGAAUGAAAAUGUACUUUGAUAACAAACAUUGAAAUAAAAAUUUAUCAGUAUAUUGUAUCAGUCAGUAAAAACAUGAAGUACAUUUGUAUCUUUAUAUCAAGAAAAUUAAAAUAAUUAUAUUCAAAUGCUUUGACACUGAUUUUAUGUUGGUUGCCUAGAAAGUGUGUGAAUUAAUGUUUUACAAUAUUUCAGAACUUAAAGACAAUGGUUAGUUCAGAAGGGACAUAAAAGUAAUGUGAAAGUAACAGAUAUA